RNAcentral lists this ribosomal RNA (790 nucleotides) under uncultured bacterium. RNAcentral's name for it is "bacterial SSU rRNA". It matches the Rfam family "Bacterial small subunit ribosomal RNA", at positions 26 to 829 of the family's 1533-position model. The record is from RNAcentral.
CGGGCAAGCCGCUGGCGGCGUGCUUAAACAUGCAAGUCCGGGGGCCCGCAAGGGUAACCGGCGAACGGGUGCGUAACACGUGAGCAAUCUGCCGUCCACUGGGGGAUAGCCGGCCCAACGGCCGGGUAAUACCGCAUACGCUUGCCGGGUGGCAUCACCUGGCAAGGAAACCUCCGGGGGUGGACGAGGAGCUCGCGGCCUAUCAGCUAGUUGGUGGGGUCACGGCCCACCAAGGCGAUGACGGGUAGCUGGUCUGAGAGGAUGGCCAGCCACAUUGGGACUGAGAUACGGCCCAGACUCCUACGGGAGGCAGCAGUGGGGAAUAUUGCGCAAUGGCCGCAAGGCUGACGCAGCGACGCCGCGUGGGGGAUGAAGCAUUUCGGUGUGUAAACCCCUGUUGCCCGGGACGAACCACCCCUUUCGAGGGGACUGACGGUACCGGGUGAGGAAGCACCGGCUAACUCCGUGCCAGCAGCCGCGGUAAUACGGAGGGUGCGAGCGUUGUCCGGAAUCACUGGGCGUAAAGGGCGCGUAGGCGGUGACUUAAGCGUGUGGUGAAAGCCCGGGGCUCAACCCCGGGUCGGCCGUGCGAACUGGGUCACUCGAGCACUGUAGAGGCAGGUGGAAUUCCGGGUGUAGCGGUGGAAUGCGUAGAGAUCCGGAAGAACACCAGUGGCGAAGGCGGCCUGCUGGGCAGUAGCUGACGCUGAGGCGCGACAGCGUGGGGAGCAAACAGGAUUAGAUACCCUGGUAGUCCACGCCGUAAACGAUGGGCACUAGGUGCUUGGGG